GCCUUUGCCUGUUCGGAUUUGCUGCCUCGU
Molecule: non-coding RNA, 30 nt
Filed under: Homo sapiens (human)
Lineage: Eukaryota; Metazoa; Chordata; Mammalia; Primates; Hominidae
Source: RNAcentral